AAUUAAUGAGCUUGAAUAAGCAUAUGCUUUGAAAGCAUAAGAUGAAAGUUUAACCUUUUAUUAAUUU
Molecule: transfer RNA, 67 nt
Filed under: Libelloides macaronius
Lineage: Eukaryota; Metazoa; Arthropoda; Insecta; Neuroptera; Myrmeleontidae
Description: transfer RNA-S2
Rfam family: tRNA
About the family: Transfer RNA (tRNA) molecules are approximately 80 nucleotides in length. Their secondary structure includes four short double-helical elements and three loops (D, anti-codon, and T loops).
Source: RNAcentral